AUGCUUAGAGACUUUUCCUUGGAGAUUUAUGAUAAACGGGAGCUCCAAUUCAUGACUCGAUCUUCGAAGCAUUGACAACAUGGAAAACAAGAAAGUGUUUUUGUUGUUUUUUUCCUCAUCUGUUGGCUCUUUUCCUUCAUUGAUGACUUUAUUGGGGUCCAAUUUCUGGUCUAUUCGCCAUUAACGAGUUCAUUUGAGCUCGAAAAUUGCCUUCUCUGAUGGGGAGAGAGAGCACGUACUCACGCGAGGAUGGGCGCUAAUGGUGGGCACGUGUAAAGUGGAUCACGAUUAGGCAGGGUGUGGGGUCCACCGUUUGUGGUGUGCCAACAGUCAACCGAAAAUGCAAAGGGUAAGACACUGAAGACUCAGCUCCCUGGACCGUGCAGUGCAAAAAUAUUAGUGUGUUCUUUUUAAAGAGUGGGGCAACCUCAUCGCUCUCUCAUGUGAUGGGGCGCGGGCCCCAAAAAGGGUGGGCUCUAAGGGACUGUUUCGACAUAGUUUACAGGG
Molecule: unclassified non-coding RNA, 507 nt
Filed under: Hevea brasiliensis (rubber tree)
Lineage: Eukaryota; Viridiplantae; Streptophyta; Magnoliopsida; Malpighiales; Euphorbiaceae
Source: RNAcentral